UACGAAGGGGGCUAGCGUUGCUCGGAAUCACUGGGCGUAAAGCGCACGUAGGCGGCUUCUUAAGUCAGGGGUGAAAUCCUGGGGCUCAACCCCAGAACUGCCCUUGAUACUGAGGAGCUUGAGUCCGGGAGAGGUGAGUGGAACUCCGAGUGUAGAGGUGAAAUUCGUAGAUAUUCGGAAGAACACCAGUGGCUACGGCGGCUCACUGGCCCGGUACUGACGCUGCGGUUCGAAAUCGUGGGGAGCACACAGG
Molecule: ribosomal RNA, 253 nt
Filed under: uncultured bacterium
Lineage: Bacteria
Description: partial 16S ribosomal RNA
Rfam family: Bacterial small subunit ribosomal RNA
Source: RNAcentral